AUAAUAUUGGUUAUAAUAUAUUUUUACAUUGUGUAUUCCUUUAUCAAAAAAUCCACUCAUGGUAGAAAAAGUUUUACCAAAUACAUUGAGGAGAAUUAAUUAAUCAUGAAUUUGUCAUGGUAACACUAACAUCUGUGGCCAAUGAAUCUAUACAAUUAGAUAGAUAUUGACUUAAACGGAAUAUACUAUAAAAAUUGAAGAAGUGUAUCUAAAAUGCAUUAAAAUAUUGGACGAACGGAUACAUAAUAAUGCCAACAUACCAGAUUUAACCAAUAGUUGAUAUUGAUAUAUAAAGUGAAUAUACAGGCAAUACCAAUUUAAAUUCAACUUUUGAAAAAUCAUUCAAUAUUCCGUUUUACGAUUUGUCGCUAGGUAAUAUUUGAAAACUAUUUACAUAUACAAAUACAAUGUAUGGUACAUUUUUUACAUGCUUAAGAUUUAAUACUAGCCCAGUUUAAUUCUCACUAACUAAAGAAAUGACAAAAUCAUAAAUUUUUAUACCUUCAUGAAUAAAUGUAGAAAGCAUGUUAUAAUAUUACAAAUAAAU
Acyrthosiphon pisum (pea aphid) is the source of this 547-nucleotide long non-coding RNA. RefSeq lists it as uncharacterized. NCBI's taxonomy places the organism in Eukaryota, Metazoa, Arthropoda, Insecta, Hemiptera, Aphididae. The record is from RefSeq and is a predicted model, not a curated record. The transcript has 3 exons.